GGAAAGAUGAAAAGAACUUUGAAAAGAGAGUUAAAUAGUACGUGAAAUUGUUGAAAGGGAAACGAUUGAAGUCAGUCAUGCCGGUGGGAAUCAACUUAGGGGAAACUCUAAGUGCACUUCUUCGCUUGGCAGGUCAACGUCGAUUUUGGAUGUCAUAAAAUGAUUGGGGGAAGGUAGCCCCUUAGGGAGUGUUAUAGCCCUUGGUAGAUGUGAUGUCUGGGAUCGAGGAUUGCAAUGGAUACCCUUUGGGGCUAGCUGCCUGAUCUCUAAUUGGCAUUGGGUUACGGAUAGCAUGCUGACCGUGAUCUAAUUAUUGGUUAAAAGGUUAGAGCGUGCAUAAAUUCAUUAAGGACGUUGACGUAAUGGCUUUAAACGACCCGUCUUGAAACACGGACCA
Molecule: ribosomal RNA, 397 nt
Filed under: Entrophospora infrequens
Lineage: Eukaryota; Fungi; Glomeromycota; Glomeromycetes; Entrophosporales; Entrophosporaceae
Description: LSU rRNA
Rfam family: Eukaryotic large subunit ribosomal RNA
Source: RNAcentral